Long non-coding RNA from Zingiber officinale, 472 nucleotides. RefSeq lists it as uncharacterized. The record is from RefSeq and is a predicted model, not a curated record. The transcript has 2 exons. NCBI's taxonomy places the organism in Eukaryota, Viridiplantae, Streptophyta, Magnoliopsida, Zingiberales, Zingiberaceae.
UUAAGGGGGUGGGCUUGCUAAGGGUACUUGGAGCCCAAUUAAUGGGAGAGGGGUUAAUGCCCUAAAGGGAGGGGAAAAGGAGGAGAGUUGGGCAGGAGCGUUUUGUCGGCAAUUCUCGUGUGGGGAGCAACGACAACGAAGGUUUCUUCCCAAGGAUAGGAGCUUCCAAUAGCAAGGAAGGAAAGUAGAUUCUUCUAGUAGGUGCGAAUGAUGAUACAAGGGAGGUGUUGGGGAACGAGGAGGCGGGAUAGUCGAGGAGAUGAAAUGAAAUGCAAAGCACGCUGUCCGGAGGUCCCUAGGGGAAUGUUAAUAAAUUUUGUUCCCUGAUUCGUUUUGUUAAAAUGAGUUGGAGACUAUGUGCAUGUUUUGUUCAGAAUCUUAUGAAUUUUCGUUGAAAAGUUUAUAUUGAGUUUGAGGUUCAUAUGUGAUACAAACUUUCUUGAGUCGAUGGUGAAUGUGACUUUUAUUGCUU